UACAGAGGGUGCAAGCGUUGUUCGGAAUUAUUGGGCGUAAAGAGCUCGUAGGCGGUUUGUUGCGUCGGCCGUGAAAACCUGCAGCUUAACUGUGGGCCUGCGGCCGAUACGGGCAGACUAGAGGUAUGCAGGGGAGAACGGAAUUCCUGGUGUAGCGGUGGAAUGCGCAGAUAUCAGGAGGAACACCGGUGGCGAAGGCGGUUCUCUGGGCAUUACCUGACGCUGAGGAGCGAAAGUGUGGGGAGCGAACAGG
RNAcentral lists this ribosomal RNA (253 nucleotides) under uncultured bacterium. RNAcentral describes it as "partial 16S ribosomal RNA". It matches the Rfam family "Bacterial small subunit ribosomal RNA", at positions 524 to 776 of the family's 1533-position model. The record is from RNAcentral.